This is a long non-coding RNA of Oncorhynchus tshawytscha (Chinook salmon), 2043 nucleotides long. RefSeq lists it as uncharacterized. Lineage: Eukaryota; Metazoa; Chordata; Actinopteri; Salmoniformes; Salmonidae. The transcript is spliced from 3 exons. The record is from RefSeq and is a predicted model, not a curated record.
UGUUGCACCCUCUACAACCACUGUGAUUAUUAUUAUUUGACCCUGCUGGUAAUCUAUGAACGUUUUAACAUUUUGGCCAUGUACUGUUAUAAUCUCCACCCUGCACAGCCAGAAGAAGACUGGCCACCCCUCAGAGCCUGGUUCCUCUCUAGGUUUCUUCCUAGAUUCCUGCCUUUCUAGGGAGUUUGUCCUAGCCACCGUGCUUCUACAUCUGCAUUGCUUGCUGUUUGGGGUUUUAUGCUUCGAACACACCGACUGCUUCAUUGCAUCACUGCUGUGUAACAUUUUGCGCAACUGGGCAACUAUACUGAUGCAGGUAUGUUUUGCAGAAGGUUGCAUGCGGUUGGACACAUGGAGGAGAGAAUCAGUUUCGCAGUAUCCUCAAAACUGUGUCUUUUUGACACAACUGCUGACAGCUACAGGGACGUAAACACAAAAAUGCUGCUUGGAGACAAGUGUCCACGAUAGUAGGAUUGUCAGAAGAAGACUGUAGGAGGAAGUGGAGAUGACUCAGGGACAGGUAUCAGAGAGAGAGAAGGGCAGAGAAAGAGAAGGAGAGGUCUGGGUCAGCAGCUUCAGGCCAGCAGCCUUGGUGCUUCUGCCACAUUCUUUCUUUUCUGGAUGCAUUUAUUGUGCCUAGGACAACGAGUGGCAAUUUUACAGCCAGACCCUCUACUACGUCAUCCACAAGUGUUGUCUCCACUGGUGCAUCAAGACCCUCAACGUCACCUACAAAUGCGACCACUGCCUCCACCGGUGCAGCGAGACCCUCUACAACGUCUACAUCAUCCACAAGUAUGACCACCACCGGUGCAGCGAGACCCUCUACAAGGUCUACAUCAUCCACAAGUAUGACCACCACCGGUGCAGUGAGACCCUCUACAACAUCUACAUCAUCCACAAGUAUGACCACCACCGGUGCAGCGAGACCCUCUACAACGUCUACAUCAUCCACAAGUAUGACCACCACCGGUGCAGCGAGACCCUCUACGACGUCUACAUUAUCCACAAGUAUGACCACCACCGGUGUGUAGCGAGACCCUCUACAACGUCUACAUCAUCCACAAGUAUGACCACCACCGGUGCAGCCAUGGAAGAUGUUGAAAUGGAGGAAGCACCUCUGGAUCUAUGACCACCUAAGAUUAUUAUGAACCUCACGGAAGUGUCCACUGAGGACCUUGUUGAACAGGAUGUGGCCGUGGAGAGAAACAGAGAGAGAAAUGAAGAGGAACAACGUCACACCAGCCCCCAGAUCCACUUAAUUCAUUUCAGCAGAGGCUCCUCCAAGCCGUCGAGAGGGAUGCAGCCCAACCUGAUGUCACAGGAAGGAGGAUGACGAGACCCUAUUUGCCAUGAGCCUGGUGCCAACACUGAAGAGGCUGCCUCAGUGAAGAAGAGCAGCAGUCAAGGUUAAAAUGUAUCAGCUGCUUUUCGAAGCCGAGUUCAAUGAAAUGGAGUCAAUUUAGCCGACCAGCUCACAGGAAGGACAGGAAGAGGAGAGGAGUUGUCUGGUUGUUGUUUUGACCUCCCUCAUUGUACCUUUCUUUUCACACACGUCAGUUCUGUUUAAAUUCAGUCAAUUCAUAAAGUCAUUUGUUUAUAAAGUCUUAGGAUAGCAUUCAUUAUUAGUGUUACAUAGAUUUCUGAAUUGACAGAAUUGAAACUCACACACCGGAGAAUUCAGAUGCUCUUGUUGGUCUCUUACGAGACUAAAGGUGAAUAUAUUUCUUUCAUUUAAAACCACUUGAAAACCAGGGUGUUGAAACUGUUUGUGAAGUUCUGUUCCAUGACAUCCAGGGGCCAUUGGUUUGUUUAGCUGUGUUAUGGCUACAUAUUAUUCCCUUUUUCUCAGAGACAGAGACACACACACACCUCUUCGUACCUCAGAUCUCCAGUGCCCUGCCCUCUCUCUCUUUAUGGCCAUGUCUGAAGUUCCCCUACUACGUCUAGGCUUUAUGAGUAGUCCCUGUAUCAGUCUGCAGUUGUGCCAAAAAUACAUGCUCUUGUUCUCUUACAGAUUACAGGCUACACAUUCAUUUAUUU